AUUGAACGCUGGCGGCAGGCCUAACACAUGCAAGUCGAACGAGUGGCGGACGGGUGAGUAAUAUCUGGGAAACUGCCUGAUGGAGGGGGAUAACUAAUGGAAACGGUAGCUAAUACCGCAUACCAUCGGAUGUGCCCAGAUGGGAUUGGCUAGUAGGUGGGGUAACGGCUCACCUAGGCGACGAUCCCUAGCUGGUCUGAUAGGAUGACCAUCCCCACUGGAACUGGACCACGGUCCAGCCUCCUACGGUGGGCAGCAGUGGGGAAUAUUGCACAAUGGGCGCAAGCCUGAUGCAGCCAUGCCGCGUGUAUGAAGAGGUCCUUCUGGUUUUAAGGUACUUUCAGCGGGGAUGCGUUACCCGCAGAAGAAGCCCCGGCUAACUCCGUGCCAGCCGCCGCGGUAAUUC
Molecule: ribosomal RNA, 406 nt
Filed under: uncultured bacterium
Lineage: Bacteria
Description: partial 16S ribosomal RNA
Rfam family: Bacterial small subunit ribosomal RNA
Source: RNAcentral